This 596-nucleotide long non-coding RNA is filed under the name Castor canadensis (American beaver). Its description in RNAcentral is "lncRNA (ENSCCNG00000016440.1)". The record is from RNAcentral. Lineage: Eukaryota; Metazoa; Chordata; Mammalia; Rodentia; Castoridae.
CAAAGAUGUUAUAAUUAUACAUAUAUGCAGAUGUAUUUACAUUUUUGAUAAUGAUUUUUUGAUGUAUCUUUGUUAUUUAUUAUUCAUAGAAAAUACACCUGACUCCAUCCAUUGACUUCUAUAAGAAAUUAGCCUUGGACUGUUCUGGUCAACAGGUAGCUGUUGACUUAUUCCUUCUCAGUGGACAGUAUUCUGAUUUGGCUUCUCCGGACUUCCUGUCUCUGCCCAAUGUCAACCCAGAUGCCAGGUAUACAGUACAGAUGUCAGCGGAAAAGAGUCUUCCUGACAUGCAGUUGGGUUCUUUUCAGUCAGCACUCUUGUAUACAUCAAGCAAAGGUGAAAGAAGAAUACUAUCCGUACUUUGUGUUUGCCAGUAGUUUCAACUCUGAAUGAAGUCUUUCUGGAAGCUGAUGUUCAAGCAAUUUCAGGGUUAUUGGCCAAUAUGGAAAUCAUUCCAGACUGGACAAACGUGUAUCUAGAAGAACACAUUUUGCUGUGUCAAGUGCAAACCCAGCCCUUGGUUCACCUUAUGCUCACAACUCAUCCCAGUUUGUACAGAAUUGACAAUCUCUCAGAUGAGGAAAGAUGGAUUCCUU